GAUGAACGCUAGCGGCAGGCCUAACACAUGCAAGUCGAGGGGCAGCACGAUUGUGCUUGCUUAAUUGGUGGCGACCGGCGCACAGGUGCGUAACGCGUAUGCAACCUACCUUAUACUGGGGUAUAGCCCGAAGAAAUUCGGAUUAAUCCCCCAUAGCAUUAUCGAUUCGCAUGUUUUGAUAAUUAAAGGUUACGGUAUAA
Molecule: ribosomal RNA, 200 nt
Filed under: uncultured bacterium
Lineage: Bacteria
Description: partial 16S ribosomal RNA
Rfam family: Bacterial small subunit ribosomal RNA
Source: RNAcentral